CGGAGGUAACUAAAACGAAUAGCGUAAAUUAACAGAACCACACAAAUUGACAUAACGACACAUGGCACUAUUUGAACGGCUAUAGUACACAACCAAUUAUAAAUGUGAGUAUAGUUAAGAUUGUCAAUCCCGUUUCGAUAGCUAAAAGUACAUGGUUCUCCAGAAUCAUGAACAAAAUCAAAGAAUUUAUAACCAUGUAUUAUUG
This 205-nucleotide long non-coding RNA is filed under the name Mytilus galloprovincialis (Mediterranean mussel). The record is from RNAcentral. Lineage: Eukaryota; Metazoa; Mollusca; Bivalvia; Mytilida; Mytilidae.